UGAUAUUAAGUAUGAGGUAGAUGGGGAGACAUAUAAUCUUAACCCUACCCACGCAUCUGUUUAAAUACAAGUCUUGUUCUAUUCUAAGUGUUCACACCUGAUUCCUGAAGGCACCAUGAAGACACUGACUGUCCUUCUCCUUGUGGGGCUUCUGGCCCUUUGUACAGAAUUACCCUCUGCAACUUGUUACAGAAUAGGGAUGUGCCCAGGAAAUCCAUUUCGGUGCUCCAUGCCAGGAAUUAGUCGUUGCAGGAGUAACUAUGACUGCCCACGUAACCUCCAGUGCUGCAACUACAGUUGUGCCAGGGUCUGCAGAGCUCCACCACCAGGUAUAUUCAUCAAUGACUGACAUUUCAAGUGAUAUCUUGGUACUGCCCACGAAAUCCAUUUAGGUGCACUGUCCCAGGAAUUGAUCGUUGCAGAACUGACUAUGACUGCCCAGGAAGACAAAGGUGUUGCUACUACAAUUGUGCCAGGUCCUGCA
This is a long non-coding RNA of Lacerta agilis (Sand lizard), 484 nucleotides long. RefSeq lists it as uncharacterized. The transcript is spliced from 3 exons. The record is from RefSeq and is a predicted model, not a curated record. NCBI's taxonomy places the organism in Eukaryota, Metazoa, Chordata, Lepidosauria, Squamata, Lacertidae.